Molecule: long non-coding RNA, 680 nt
Filed under: Arachis ipaensis
Lineage: Eukaryota; Viridiplantae; Streptophyta; Magnoliopsida; Fabales; Fabaceae
Description: long non-coding RNA (AIPA_LNC001106)
Source: RNAcentral
ACAACACUACUAUACUAUACACACCACAAGACAAAGACCCAAAAAAAAUGGUGAAACAAGUGAGUCACUCUCUAUUACUCAUCAAAUGCUUUAUUCUUUUCCUCCUUCUAUUUGCAACUUCUUUGGUUUCACUUCACUCAUCAACAGAACAGAAGAAGAAAGUUGUGUGGCAUAGGAAGCCUUGGAUGAACCAUGGAAGCUCACGUGGCCCAAGGAAACACCUUGUGAACCCAACAACACUUUAUGAGAAUCCAUUGCAGGCUCGUCAAUUUCCUGUUUAGUUUUAAUUUCUCUUCUUCAUUCAUAGUUUCAUUUUCAUACCCCAUUUUCUAAGUUUUAUAAUUAUUCCCAAUAAUUAUGGAAACUUAAUUAUUAUUAAUUCUUCCUUUUUGUGUCACCUUGUAUAUCUGAUGAUGUAUUUGUAUUUUGAUGAUUUGGUUUGAUAUAUAGAUUUAUGAUGAAAAUGGAUCAAUUAUUGAUCUUUUAUGAGUGUAUAUCAUACAUAAAGCAAAAUCAAUUUGAUUGUUAUCUAUGAUAAGGAGGACUUGAAUUUGGUCAAAUUUUAGUUGCUUGGAAUCUAAAAAGCUAGUGGGAAUAUCAGGUCAAUGUUUCAAUAAUCACGUUGAAAAUUCGUUGUAAUUAUUUUAUGCCAAAAAUAAUGCACCACUCCUUUGUUAUUU